AUUGAACGCUGGCGGCAUGCCUUACACAUGCAAGUCGAACGGUAACAGGUUAAGCUGUCGCGUGGCGAGGGGGUGAGUAAUGUAUCGGAACGUGAUACGUCGUAAGGGAUAAUUGCGCGGAAGAGCAGCUAGUACAGCAUACGACAAGAGCGUGAACGAGGUGGGUGGGAAGACAUCGCGCGAUUGGAGCGGCCGAUAUCGGAUUAGGUAGUUGGUGAGGUAAAGGCUCACCAAGCCGACGAUCCGUAGCUGGUCUGAGAGGAUGACCAGCCACACUGGGACUGAGACACGGUCCAGACUCCUACGGGAGGCAGCAGUGGGGAAUAUUGGACAAUGGGCGCAAGCCUGAUCCAGCCAUGCCGCGUGCGUGAAGAAGGCCUUCGGGUUGUAAAGCGCUUUUGUCAGGGAAGAAAAGGUUCUGGCUAAUACCUGGGAGUCAUGACGGUACCUGAAGAAUAAGCACCGGCUAACUACGUG
Molecule: ribosomal RNA, 477 nt
Filed under: uncultured bacterium
Lineage: Bacteria
Description: partial 16S ribosomal RNA
Rfam family: Bacterial small subunit ribosomal RNA
Source: RNAcentral